Molecule: transfer RNA, 72 nt
Filed under: Cyanobacteria bacterium M5B4
Lineage: Bacteria; Bacillati; Cyanobacteriota
Description: tRNA-Thr
Rfam family: tRNA
About the family: Transfer RNA (tRNA) molecules are approximately 80 nucleotides in length. Their secondary structure includes four short double-helical elements and three loops (D, anti-codon, and T loops). Further hydrogen bonds mediate the characteristic L-shaped molecular structure. tRNAs have two regions of fundamental functional importance: the anti-codon, which is responsible for specific mRNA codon recognition, and the 3' end, to which the tRNAs corresponding amino acid is attached (by aminoacyl-tRNA synthetases). tRNAs cope with the degeneracy of the genetic code in two manners: having more than one tRNA (with a specific anti-codon) for a particular amino acid; and 'wobble' base-pairing, i.e. permitting non-standard base-pairing at the 3rd anti-codon position.
Source: RNAcentral
GCCGAUGUAGCACAGCGGUAGUGCAGCCGAUUCGUAAUCGGCAGGUCAGGGGUUCAAAUCCCCUCAUCGGCU